Molecule: ribosomal RNA, 747 nt
Filed under: uncultured Capnocytophaga sp.
Lineage: Bacteria; Pseudomonadati; Bacteroidota; Flavobacteriia; Flavobacteriales; Flavobacteriaceae
Description: bacterial SSU rRNA
Rfam family: Bacterial small subunit ribosomal RNA
Source: RNAcentral
GAUGAACGCUAGCGGCAGGCCUAACACAUGCAAGUCGAGGGAGAGGUUACCUUCGGGUAACCAAAACCGGCGCACGGGUGCGUAACGCGUAUACAAUCUGCCUUUCACAUAGGGAUAGCCCGAAGAAAUUUGGAUUAAUACCUAAUGGUAUAUAAGAGCGGCAUCGUUUUUAUAUUAAAGCUACGGUGGUGAAAGAUGAGUAUGCGUUCUAUUAGCUAGUUGGAGAGGUAACGGCUCCCCAAGGCGACGAUAGAUAGGGGUUCUGAGAGGGAUGUCCCCCACACUGGUACUGAGAUACGGACCAGACUCCUACGGGAGGCAGCAGUGAGGAAUAUUGGACAAUGGUCGGAAGACUGAUCCAGCCAUGCCGCGUGCAGGAUGAAGGUCCUAUGGAUUGUAAACUGCUUUUGUAAGGGAAGAAUAAGGAGUACGUGUACUUUGAUGACGGUACCUUACGAAUAAGCAUCGGCUAACUCCGUGCCAGCAGCCGCGGUAAUACGGAGGAUGCGAGCGUUAUCCGGAAUCAUUGUGUUUAAAGGGCCCGUAGGCGGGCUGAUAAGUCAGAGGUGAAAGCGCUUAGCUCAACUAAGCAACUGCCUUUGAAACUGUCAGUCUUGAAUGAUUGUGAAGUAGUUGGGAUGUGUAGUGUAGCGGUGAAAUGCCUAGAUAUUACACAGACACCGAUAGCGGAGGCAUAUUUACUUACACUUAUUGACGCUGAUGACGAAAGCGUGGGGAGCGAACAGG